RNAcentral lists this unclassified non-coding RNA (268 nucleotides) under uncultured fungus. Its description in RNAcentral is "sequence contains ITS1". The record is from RNAcentral. Lineage: Eukaryota; Fungi.
GUAUUUGAUUUAAAGGCACUAAAGGCCAAUUAAUGACAUUCUGUUACAUUCUUUUGGGGUAUGUAAAAACAUAGACCGGAAAUGCAAGGAAAGCUGGCUUUCGCACAGCAGUCCUCAAACCGAGUUUCCUCGAGAGGUAUAUCCAGGUCUACAAAGGGUGCACAGGUGGUAAGAAAUUGGUGGCAGGCGUGCACAUGCUCCGAAGAGCCAGCAACAACCCGACCAAGUUUAUUCAAUAAUGAUCCUUCCGCAGGUUCACCUACGGAAA